ACGUGAGUUACAUGCCCUGCAGAGAGGGAUAGCCCAGGGAAACUUGGAUUAAUACUUCAUGGUCUCGCAAGAGUAAAGGUGGCGAAAGCUGCCGCUGCAGGAUUGGCUCGCGGCCUAUCAGCUAGUUGGUGAGGUAACGGCUCACCAAGGCGACGACGGGUACCUGGUCUGAGAGGACGAUCAGGCACACUGGAACUGAGACACGGUCCAGACACCUACGGGUGGCAGCAGUCGAGAAUCAUUCACAAUGGGGGCAACCCUGAUGGUGCAACGCCGCGUGGAGGAUGAAGGUCUUCGGAUUGUAAACUCCUGUCAUCUAGGAGCAAGGCAUGGUGGUGAAUAGCUAACAUGAUUGAUAGUACUAGAAGAGGAAGGGACGGCUAACUUCGUGCCAGCAGCCGCGGUAAUACGAAGGUCCCGAGCGUUAUUCGGAAUCACUGGGCGUAAAGGGAGCGUAGGCGGCGUGGAAAGUCAGAUGUGAAAUCCCGGGGCUCAACCCCGGAACUGCAUCCGAUACUACCAUGCUAGAGUAUUGGAGGG
This 540-nucleotide ribosomal RNA is filed under the name uncultured cyanobacterium. Its description in RNAcentral is "bacterial SSU rRNA". It matches the Rfam family "Bacterial small subunit ribosomal RNA", at positions 115 to 656 of the family's 1533-position model. The record is from RNAcentral. Lineage: Bacteria; Bacillati; Cyanobacteriota.